RNAcentral lists this ribosomal RNA (252 nucleotides) under uncultured bacterium. RNAcentral describes it as "partial 16S ribosomal RNA". It matches the Rfam family "Bacterial small subunit ribosomal RNA", at positions 524 to 777 of the family's 1533-position model. The record is from RNAcentral.
UACGGGGGGGGCAAGCGUUGUUCGGAAUUACUGGGCGUAAAGGGCUCGUAGGCGGCCAACUAAGUCAGACGUGAAAUCCCUCGGCUUAACCGGGAACUGCGUCUGAUACUGGAUGGCUUGAGUUUGGGAGAGGGAUGCGGAAUUCCAGGUGUAGCGGUGAAAUGCGUAGAUAUCUGGAGGAACACCGGUGGCGAAGGCGGCAUCCUGGACCAACACUGACGCUGAGGAGCGAAAGCCAGGGAGCAAACGGGG